UGAAAAAGCAAGAAUUCUAAGCUAAAAUAUUAGUGACGUCUAUUAAAAUGUUUGAAAUAAUUAUGAAGUCGACAGGAAAUGAGCUUGUUCAGAUAGUUUACAGUCAGCUUACAUUGCCUCCUGUAUAAAUGUCUCCUCACAGUGCUUUCUUAAAAUUAUUUGAAAUCAAUGUGAUUGUUUUUAUCAUGAACUCUGAGCGCAUAAUGAC
This 208-nucleotide long non-coding RNA is filed under the name Mytilus galloprovincialis (Mediterranean mussel). Lineage: Eukaryota; Metazoa; Mollusca; Bivalvia; Mytilida; Mytilidae. The record is from RNAcentral.